CGAGGAACGCCUUAUCUUGUUCUU
This 24-nucleotide non-coding RNA is filed under the name Arabidopsis thaliana (thale cress). Lineage: Eukaryota; Viridiplantae; Streptophyta; Magnoliopsida; Brassicales; Brassicaceae. The record is from RNAcentral.